Molecule: non-coding RNA, 107 nt
Organism: Acanthosepion pharaonis
Lineage: Eukaryota; Metazoa; Mollusca; Cephalopoda; Sepiida; Sepiidae
Source: the annotation of a GenBank genome assembly
UUACGAUCAUAUCACGUUGAAACACCAAUUCCCAUACGAUCACCGAAUUUAAGCAACGUCGUGCCUGGUCAGAAUGGUGACCUCAUGGGAAUACCAAGAGCUGUAAG